AGCGGAGUUUUGAAAAGCUUGCUUUUCAAAACUUAGCGGCGGACGGGUGAGUAACACGUGGGCAACCUGCCCUUGAGACGGGGAUAACUCCGGGAAACCGGAGCUAAUACCGGAUAACACAUAUCUUCGCAUGAGGAUAUGUUAGAAGGUGGCUUUUAGCUACCACUCAAGGAUGGGCCCGCGGCGCAUUAGCUAGUUGGUGAGGUAACGGCUCACCAAGGCGACGAUGCGUAGCCGACCUGAGAGGGUGAUCGGCCACACUGGGACUGAGACACGGCCCAGACUCCUACGGGAGGCAGCAGUAGGGAAUCUUCCGCAAUGGACGAAAGUCUGACGGAGCAACGCCGCGUGAGUGAUGAAGGUUUUCGGAUCGUAAAGCUCUGUUGUUAGGGAAGAACAAGUACCUGUUAAAUAAGCAGGUACCUUGACGGUACCUAACCAGAAAGCCACGGCUAACUACGUGCCAGCAGCCGCGGUAAUACGUAGGUGGCAAGCGUUGUCCGGAAUUAUUGGGCGUAAAGCGCGCGCAGGCGGUUCCUUAAGUCUGAUGUGAAAGCCCACGGCUCAACCGUGGAGGGUCAUUGGAAACUGGGGAACUUGAGUGCAGAAGAGGAGAGCGGAAUUCCACGUGUAGCGGUGAAAUGCGUAGAGAUGUGGAGGAACACCA
This 667-nucleotide ribosomal RNA is filed under the name Bacillus sp. (in: firmicutes). RNAcentral's name for it is "bacterial SSU rRNA". It matches the Rfam family "Bacterial small subunit ribosomal RNA", at positions 65 to 711 of the family's 1533-position model. Lineage: Bacteria; Bacillati; Bacillota; Bacilli; Caryophanales; Bacillaceae. The record is from RNAcentral.